GUUUCCUGCUGUCUUCAGCCCUUUUCAAAAGCUUGUCCUAUAAUACUUUGUGCUGGGCAAGAGGGAUCUAAGGUGAAGAAGAAAGACUGCCUUCUUGGCCCGGCGCGGUGGCUCACGCCUGUAAUCGCAACACUUUGGGAAGCCGACGUGGGUGGAUCAUGAGGUCAGGAGUUUGAGACCAGCCUGGCCAAUAUGGUGAAACCCCGUCUCUACUAAAAAUAUAAAAUUGGCCGGGCGCGGUGGCUCACUCCUGUAAUCCCAGCACUUUGGGAGGCAGAGGUGGGUGGAUCACCUGAGGUCAAGAGUUCGAGACCUGCCUGGAAGAAGGAGAAAGGGCCAACCCCUGAAGAAGCAAUACAGAAACUGAAGGAGACAGAGAAGAUACUGAUCAAGAAACAGGAAUUUUUGGAGCAGAAGAUUCAACAGGAGCUACAAACAGCCAAGAAGUAUGGGACCAAGAAUAAGAGAGCUGCCCUACAGGCUUUGCGGAGGAAGAAAAGAUUCGAACAGCAGCUGGCACAAACUGAUGGGACAUUAUCCACCCUGGAGUUU
This 552-nucleotide small RNA is filed under the name Pongo abelii (Sumatran orangutan). Its description in RNAcentral is "processed transcript". The record is from RNAcentral. Lineage: Eukaryota; Metazoa; Chordata; Mammalia; Primates; Hominidae.